RNAcentral lists this ribosomal RNA (253 nucleotides) under uncultured bacterium. Its description in RNAcentral is "partial 16S ribosomal RNA". It matches the Rfam family "Bacterial small subunit ribosomal RNA", at positions 524 to 776 of the family's 1533-position model. The record is from RNAcentral.
UACGGAGGAGGCAAGCGUUAUCCGGAUUCACUGGGUUUAAAGGGUGCGUAGGAGGGCAGGGAAGUCAGUGGUGAAAUCUCCGAGCUUAACUCGGAAACUGCCGUUGAUACUCUCUGUCUUGAAUCCCGUGGAGGUGAGCGGAAUAUGUCAUGUAGCGGUGAAAUGCUUAGAUAUGACAUAGAACACCAAUUGCGAAGGCAGCUCGCUACACGAAGAUUGACUCUGAGGCACGAAAGCGUGGGGAUCAAACAGG